This 75-nucleotide transfer RNA is filed under the name Desulfovibrio sp. RNAcentral describes it as "tRNA-Val". It matches the Rfam family "tRNA". Rfam says of the family: Transfer RNA (tRNA) molecules are approximately 80 nucleotides in length. Their secondary structure includes four short double-helical elements and three loops (D, anti-codon, and T loops). Further hydrogen bonds mediate the characteristic L-shaped molecular structure. tRNAs have two regions of fundamental functional importance: the anti-codon, which is responsible for specific mRNA codon recognition, and the 3' end, to which the tRNAs corresponding amino acid is attached (by aminoacyl-tRNA synthetases). tRNAs cope with the degeneracy of the genetic code in two manners: having more than one tRNA (with a specific anti-codon) for a particular amino acid; and 'wobble' base-pairing, i.e. permitting non-standard base-pairing at the 3rd anti-codon position. Lineage: Bacteria; Pseudomonadati; Thermodesulfobacteriota; Desulfovibrionia; Desulfovibrionales; Desulfovibrionaceae. RNAcentral also lists the same sequence under 2 other names. The record is from RNAcentral.
AGGCGCGUAGCUCAGGGGGAGAGCAUCUGCUUGACGUGCAGAGGGUCGGGGGUUCAAAUCCCUCCGCGCCUACCA